Molecule: ribosomal RNA, 499 nt
Filed under: Podospora sp. ID3-5
Lineage: Eukaryota; Fungi; Ascomycota; Sordariomycetes; Sordariales; Podosporaceae
Description: eukaryotic LSU rRNA
Rfam family: 5.8S ribosomal RNA (bases 145-298)
Source: RNAcentral
CAUUACCUAGAGUUUGUGGGCUUUGCCCACUGUCUCUUACCCAUGUCUUUUGAGUACUUACGUUUCCUCGGUGGGCUCGCCCGCCGGUUGGACAAUUUAAACCAUUUGCAGUUGCAAUCAGCGUCUGAAAAACAUAAUAGUUACAACUUUCAACAACGGAUCUCUUGGUUCUGGCAUCGAUGAAGAACGCAGCGAAAUGCGAUAAGUAGUGUGAAUUGCAGAAUUCAGUGAAUCAUCGAAUCUUUGAACGCACAUUGCGCCCCUUGGUAUUCCAUGGGGCAUGCCUGUUCGAGCGUCAUUUGUACCUUCAAGCUCUGCUUGGUGUUGGGUGUUUGUCUCGCCUUGCGCGUAGACUCGCCUUAAAACAAUUGGCAGCCGGCGUAUUGAUUUCGGAGCGCAGUACAUCUCGCGCUUUGCACUCAUAACGACGACGUCCAAAAGUACUUUUUACACUCUUGACCUCGGAUCAGGUAGGGAUACCCGCUGAACUUAAGCAUAU